Anastrepha ludens (Mexican fruit fly) is the source of this 1147-nucleotide RNA transcript. It is a transcript of the gene named thyroid receptor-interacting protein 6-like, with no coding region annotated. The transcript has 3 exons. NCBI's taxonomy places the organism in Eukaryota, Metazoa, Arthropoda, Insecta, Diptera, Tephritidae. The record is from RefSeq and is a predicted model, not a curated record.
GCACUUCUCGAGUAUUAACAACACCUCAUUCAUACAGGGCAAUUUAUAUGUAUUACGCUUCAACAAGUUGGGGACGAGUUGAGAAUCAUAAAUUGGAAAAAAAUUAUUGAAAAUAAAAUAUUAUGGUAAACUCAUGGUCAAAGAAAUAUUUGAAUAGUUAUUAUAAGUUUUCGCCAAAACCCAGCGGAAUUUGCUGCAACAAGUAAAGCAAGUUCUAUCUUCAAAAGCAGCAACAACAACUUAUAAUAUUAUGUUACUGAAUAAGGAAACUAAAUAUAUAGUCAAGUGUGUUUAAAUGAAAAGAAUAUUUGCAAAUAAAACAUUAUGACAACUGCUCAUAAAAUCUGUCUACACAUUAUUAGUGUCGUAGAUUGUUCGUAAAAACCCAGCAGAGCUCAAUAUGAAGAGUUAGUAGCAAAACUAAAAAAGCAUGUGUAUUCUAAGAAAGACAUUUUUCAAGCUCAAUUCAUUAGAAGAACCCAAGAUAACACAAUCCGCGAACAGCUCAUUCUGGCAGAAUAUUUAAGAAAAUUGUUUGGAAAAAAUACUAUCUUUAGAAGCAUUCAACAUAUGUACAUAGAAAGCCGUGAACUCAAUGCAAAAUUACAAAGUACUAUAAAUGAUGUCAACAAAGUACUCGCAGGUAUAAAUCGUAGUAGAAGGCCGCGGAUACAUUCAAUAAUAAUCAAAAUUAAACUUGAGGCAAAUAGGUAUCGGAAACUUAUGCAUACGAAGCGGAAGAGAGAAUCACAAAACAAAGGAAUGUCACGUAAAGCGGCAUGACCUCAUAUAAAAUUCGCGCCACGCUGCUGGGUAUGUUUGGAACCAAUAAUGCCAGAAACCGGUGAAGAAGAAACUGUACGUGUCGUAGCGUUAGAUCGCAGUUAUCACUUCGGAUGUUAUAAAUGUGAAGACUGUGGUUUGUUGUUAUCGUCAGAAGCCGAGGGUCGUGGAUGCUAUCCUCUGGACGGACAUGUACUCUGUAAAAGUUGUAAUGCAAAACGUGUGCAAAUGCUAACAAGUCGCAUGGCAACAGAGUUAUAAACAAACUUAUUACUGUGACAUAUUAUGAAUAUUAUGUAUAAUUUCUACACUCGUAUGUAAAAUUAAAAUAAAUGAAAGUUCGUUUGGUUUGCUGACUUUUUAA